RNAcentral lists this ribosomal RNA (781 nucleotides) under uncultured bacterium. Its description in RNAcentral is "bacterial SSU rRNA". It matches the Rfam family "Bacterial small subunit ribosomal RNA", at positions 57 to 824 of the family's 1533-position model. The record is from RNAcentral.
GCAGUCGAGGGGCAUCGGGGCGAGGAGCAAUCCUUGCCGCCGGCGACCGGCGCACGGGUGAGUAACGCGUAUGCGACCUGCCCGUUGCAGGGGGAUAAUCGGGAGAAAUCCCGUCUAAUAGCGCGUAACGCCGCGGGGCUGCAUGGCCCUGCGGCCAAAGGAAGCGAUUCCGGCAACGGAUGGGCAUGCGUGACAUUAGCUAGUUGGCGGGGCAACGGCCCACCAAGGCGACGAUGUCUAGGGGUUCUGAGAGGAAGGUCCCCCACACUGGUACUGAGACACGGACCAGACUCCUACGGGAGGCAGCAGUGAGGAAUAUUGGUCAAUGGGCGCGAGCCUGAACCAGCCAAGUCACGUGAGGGAUGACGGCCCUACGGGUUGUAAACCUCUUUUGUCGGGGAGCAAAUUCCGCCACGUGUGGCGGAGUCGAGAGUACCCGAAGAAAAAGCAUCGGCUAACUCCGUGCCAGCAGCCGCGGUAAUACGGAGGAUGCGAGCGUUAUCCGGAUUUAUUGGGUUUAAAGGGUGCGUAGGCGGACUGUCAAGUCAGCGGUAAAAUACGGGGGCUCAACCUCCGCCCGCCGUUGAAACUGACGGUCUUGAGUGGGCGAGAAGUAUGCGGAAUGCGUGGUGUAGCGGUGAAAUGCAUAGAUAUCACGCAGAACUCCGAUUGCGAAGGCAGCAUACCGGCGCCCAACUGACGCUGAAGCACGAAAGCGUGGGUAUCGAACAGGAUUAGAUACCCUGGUAGUCCACGCAGUAAACGAUGAAUACUAGCUGUC